Rattus rattus (black rat) is the source of this 435-nucleotide non-coding RNA. The record is from the annotation of a RefSeq genome assembly. Lineage: Eukaryota; Metazoa; Chordata; Mammalia; Rodentia; Muridae.
AUGAGAGUGUUGCAUUUUUUCUGUCUAGUGACAGUCCUUCCUGGUAUCCUGUCUCAGAUGAAGCUACAAGAAUCAGGACCUGGCCUGGUGAAACCCACCCAGUCACUCUUCCUCACCUGCUCUGUCACUGGUUUUUCCAUCACCAGUGGUUAUUACUGGAUCUGGAUCCGGCAGUCACAUGGGAAACACCUAGAAUGGAUGGGGUAUGUGACUUACAGCGGGGAAACUUUCUACAACCCAUCCAUCAAGGGUCCAAUCUCCAUUACUAGAGAAACAUCCAAGAACCAGUAUUUCCUGCAAUUGAACUCUGUGACCACAGAGGACACAGCCAUGUAUUACUGUGCAGGAGACACAGUGAGAAGACUUCAGUGUCAACCCAGACACAAACCUCCCUGCAGAGGGGCUUUAAACCAACAGGUGGUGCUGUUGGUUUGA